Molecule: long non-coding RNA, 246 nt
Filed under: Vitis vinifera (wine grape)
Lineage: Eukaryota; Viridiplantae; Streptophyta; Magnoliopsida; Vitales; Vitaceae
Description: long non-coding RNA (VVIN_LNC008081)
Source: RNAcentral
GACAGUUUUUCGAUACUCGCACGGAUUCUACCUUUUCCCGAUACUCACCCGGAUUCUACCUUUUUUCGGUAGUCACACUAAUUUGACCUUUUUCCGGUAUUAGUCGGGACACUUUUUCGGUACUCACACUGAUUCGACCCUUUUCCGGAACUCCUCGGUACAGUUUUUCGAUACUUGCACGGAUUCUACUAUUUCCCGGUACUCGCCCGGAUUCUUCCAUUUUUCGGUACUCACACUGAUUCAACC